RNAcentral lists this ribosomal RNA (492 nucleotides) under uncultured bacterium. RNAcentral's name for it is "partial 16S ribosomal RNA". It matches the Rfam family "Bacterial small subunit ribosomal RNA", at positions 28 to 507 of the family's 1533-position model. The record is from RNAcentral.
GAUGAACGCUAGCUACAGGCUUAACACAUGCAAGUCGAGGGGAAACGACAUCGAAAGCUUGCUUUUGAUGGGCGUCGACCGGCGCACGGGUGAGUAACGCGUAUCCAACCUGCCCACCACUUGGGGAUAACCUUGCGAAAGUAAGACUAAUACCCAAUGAUAUCUCUAGAAGACAUCUGAAAGAGAUUAAAGAUUUAUCGGUGAUGGAUGGAGAUGCGUCUGAUUAGCUUGUUGGCGGGGUAACGGCCCACCAAGGCAACGAUCAGUAGGGGUUCUGAGAGGAAGGUCCCCCACAUUGGAACUGAGACACGGUCCAAACUCCUACGGGAGGCAGCAGUGAGGAAUAUUGGUCAAUGGACGAGAGUCUGAACCAGCCAAGUAGCGUGCAGGAAGACGGCCCUAUGGGUUGUAAACUGCUUUUAUAAGGGAAUAAAGUGAGUCUCGUGAGACUUUUUGCAUGUACCUUAUGAAUAAGGACCGGCUAAUUCCGUG